This 315-nucleotide ribosomal RNA is filed under the name uncultured eukaryote. RNAcentral describes it as "partial 18S ribosomal RNA". It matches the Rfam family "Eukaryotic small subunit ribosomal RNA", at positions 1470 to 1796 of the family's 1831-position model. The record is from RNAcentral.
CCCUUAGACGUUCUGGGCCGCACGCGCGCUACACUGACCAGUGCAACAAGCAUCCGUCCUUGGCCGACAGGCCCGGGCAAUCUUUGAACGCUGGUCGUGAUGGGGAUAGACUUUUGCAAUUUUUGGUCUUCAACGAGGAAUUCCUAGUAAACGCAAGUCAUCAACUUGCAUUGAUUACGUCCCUGCCCUUUGUACACACCGCCCGUCGCGCCUACCGAUUGAAUGGUCCGGUGAAGCCUCCGGAUUGGCGCGCACCUCGGAGCCGCCGAGAAGUUGGCUAAACCUUACCAUUUAGAGGAAGGUGAAGUCGUANCA